RNAcentral lists this ribosomal RNA (1378 nucleotides) under Escherichia coli. RNAcentral's name for it is "bacterial SSU rRNA". It matches the Rfam family "Bacterial small subunit ribosomal RNA", at positions 159 to 1533 of the family's 1533-position model. Lineage: Bacteria; Pseudomonadati; Pseudomonadota; Gammaproteobacteria; Enterobacterales; Enterobacteriaceae. The record is from RNAcentral.
GUAGCUAAUACCGCAUAACGUCGCAAGACCAAAGAGGGGGACCCUCGGGCCUCUUGCCAUCGGAUGUGCCCAGAUGGGAUUAGCUUGUUGGUGGGGUAACGGCUCACCAAGGCGACGAUCCCUAGCUGGUCUGAGAGGAUGACCAGCCACACUGGAACUGAGACACGGUCCAGACUCCUACGGGAGGCAGCAGUGGGGAAUAUUGCACAAUGGGCGCAAGCCUGAUGCAGCCAUGCCGCGUGUAUGAAGAAGGCCUUCGGGUUGUAAAGUACUUUCAGCGGGGAGGAAGGGAGUAAAGUUAAUACCUUUGCUCAUUGACGUUACCCGCAGAAGAAGCACCGGCUAACUCCGUGCCAGCAGCCGCGGUAAUACGGAGGGUGCAAGCGUUAAUCGGAAUUACUGGGCGUAAAGCGCACGCAGGCGGUUUGUUAAGUCAGAUGUGAAAUCCCCGGGCUCAACCUGGGAACUGCAUCUGAUACUGGCAAGCUUGAGUCUCGUAGAGGGGGGUAGAAUUCCAGGUGUAGCGGUGAAAUGCGUAGAGAUCUGGAGGAAUACCGGUGGCGAAGGCGGCCCCCUGGACGAAGACUGACGCUCAGGUGCGAAAGCGUGGGGAGCAAACAGGAUUAGAUACCCUGGUAGUCCACGCCGUAAACGAUGUCGACUUGGAGGUUGUGCCCUUGAGGCGUGGCUUCCGGAGCUAACGCGUUAAGUCGACCGCCUGGGGAGUACGGCCGCAAGGUUAAAACUCAAAUGAAUUGACGGGGGCCCGCACAAGCGGUGGAGCAUGUGGUUUAAUUCGAUGCAACGCGAAGAACCUUACCUGGUCUUGACAUCCACGGAAGUUUUCAGAGAUGAGAAUGUGCCUUCGGGAACCGUGAGACAGGUGCUGCAUGGCUGUCGUCAGCUCGUGUUGUGAAAUGUUGGGUUAAGUCCCGCAACGAGCGCAACCCUUAUCCUUUGUUGCCAGCGGUUCGGCCGGGAACUCAAAGGAGACUGCCAGUGAUAAACUGGAGGAAGGUGGGGAUGACGUCAAGUCAUCAUGGCCCUUACGACCAGGGCUACACACGUGCUACAAUGGCGCAUACAAAGAGAAGCGACCUCGCGAGAGCAAGCGGACCUCAUAAAGUGCGUCGUAGUCCGGAUUGGAGUCUGCAACUCGACUCCAUGAAGUCGGAAUCGCUAGUAAUCGUGGAUCAGAAUGCCACGGUGAAUACGUUCCCGGGCCUUGUACACACCGCCCGUCACACCAUGGGAGUGGGUUGCAAAAGAAGUAGGUAGCUUAACCUUCGGGAGGGCGCUUACCACUUUGUGAUUCAUGACUGGGGUGAAGUCGUAACAAGGUAACCGUAGGGGAACCUGCGGUUGGAUCACCUCCUUA